RNAcentral lists this ribosomal RNA (253 nucleotides) under uncultured bacterium. RNAcentral describes it as "partial 16S ribosomal RNA". It matches the Rfam family "Bacterial small subunit ribosomal RNA", at positions 524 to 776 of the family's 1533-position model. The record is from RNAcentral.
UACGGGGGGGGCAAGCGUUGUUCGGAAUUACUGGGCGUAAAGGGCUCGUAGGCGGCCAACUAAGUCGGACGUGAAAUCCCUCGGCUCAACCUGGGAACGGCAUCCGAUACUGGAUGGCUUGAAUUCGGGAGAGGGAUGCAGAAUUCCAGGUGUAGCGGUGAAAUGCGUAGAUAUCGUAAGGAAGACCAGUGGCGAAGGCGGGUCUCUGGACAGUUCCUGACGCUGAGGCACGAAGGUCAGGGGAGCAAACGGG